This 2443-nucleotide long non-coding RNA is filed under the name Sorghum bicolor (sorghum). RNAcentral's name for it is "long non-coding RNA (SBIC_LNC000328)". Lineage: Eukaryota; Viridiplantae; Streptophyta; Magnoliopsida; Poales; Poaceae. The record is from RNAcentral.
UGGUAUUUCUGGAUCCUUACCAAGGCAGUGAUGGUAUAUGCCUUCUCUCAAAAUAUGUGGUAUUUGUGGUAUAAGGCAUAGUGACAUUGCCUUCUCUCUCACCCUACUCUAAUAAGGCUUUAAUAUCUGGAGCUCAUAGGUGGGAGAUAAAGUAUACAUACUUACAAGACAUUUAUUGUAUAGUCAAACCAUGGAUCCAAAGAAACAAAUCAAUAAGCCAAAUCAAGAUGUGCAUGUGUGACGAAUGAAUGGUGUAUAGUGAUGAUGGUGAUAACAAUGGUGAAAGUCUAAUUCUACUUUUGCUCUUAUGAGGGGAUACAUACCUUCCUUGCUUUUUGAAACUUUAUGAGGAGAAUGAGAUGCUCUUCUUUUUCUUUCCUCUCAGGUGGAUAUCUUGUACCCCUAAUUCUACUGUCGGACACUUGUCCAUUUUUACCUCUCGUCUCCCUUUUUCUUUCUUUCGAGGUUCCGGGCACUUGCCCCUUUUUAUUUCCUCAUUUAUUAUUAUAUUUUUUUUCUUUUCUACUCUUUUCUUUUUUUUUCAGAGCACUCAUCUUCUGAAAUAAUGUAGCAAGUGAAAGUAACCAAAAUAACUGGAGCAUUUAUUUCACAGGGAAUAACAGGGAUAGGAAAAUGUUUUUGGCUAUUCUCUCCCGGAUUAGGAGUAGAAUGAUUUUGGGUGAAACUGGAGAUGGAAAUGGAUGGAUAUAUGUGGAUGGUACUUCCGGAGUAGAAGUAGCAUAUAUGAGUGAACGUGCAAGUGAAUCUUGAUUUAACUACAUGACAAGCUCCUAAGGGUCUACACAGCUUGACCACACUCAAUGCUCAUAAGCAGUAAAUAGUAAAUGUGUGGCUCAAAGUCUAGCAAGCAUGUAUAUAUGGCUGUGGUAGGAAUUUAAACUCUCAUCAUACAGGAACUCAUCAUGCAAUAUUUUUAAAGAUUUUUCAAAGAUAAAAUUCUCCAGAAUUCUAGCAUCUCUAGGAACAGAUAAACAGCAGCUCAACCUUCCCAUAUCAUAUCCGUUAACAACUUAGAUUUCAGAUCAAGUAUUCAUUCCACAAGUUUAGAUCUAGAGCAAGCUUUAAAUUAUAACAGUUAUGUCUAAACUUGAGAGAGAACUUCAAAUUUGCAAAUUAGGCAGAGCAACUAUUCAUCAUAUCCAUGCUAGAGUUUUAUUAUUAAGAUUCAGAUUAGCAUAGCCACUUUAUUUAUUUAUUAAACACACUAAGCAAAAGAUAUAUAUAUAAGCACAAAAUCUUUAUUUGGUUUUUCAUAGUUUAUGUAUUUUAAUAUUCUAAUAUAAUAUAAGUAUAAAGAUAAUUAGAAAUACUUAGCGAGAUAAAUGGGGGUGCUCUCCCCCAAGCUGAAUUUUGACGUAAUUUCUCUUGAUGUAGCUAGCAGGUGGCAGAGGUGUAUUUGAAAGUUAGCAGCAUUCUGACAGCGAUUAGAAUGUCCUCCGUCUGCUAGUCUUCUUGAUUCUUAAAUUCUGUGGAGCUCAAAUAGACAGCAAAGCUUGUGGAACUAAUUAAGUGUUAGCAUAAAUAUCUAGCCUUCAUCAUGUUGAGCUUCCUCAAUAAAUAUUACUCCCUGUUUUUAUAUUUUUAAUUUAUAAAGUAGAAAAGAAAUAUUUAUUUUAUUUUUAUGCCACCACAGUGAAGGUACUUAUGGGUUUUAUGCCACUCGUAUACUCACAUGGGGCUUAAUAUGUUUUAAUAUUUUUAUUUUCUUUUCAAGAUAGCAUGAUUAACUAAUAAUCUAUUUAAGGAAAGUAAAUAAUUAAAGGGAAAAGGGAAUGCAGAAAGGAUAAAUAUGGAUAACUACCAAUCUUACCUUUCGGCGAGGGUUCAAUGUUUUAAGUCUUCUUGACAAGACUUCUCACCGUGUUCAUUCUUCAGGUGCGUCAUUUGAUUCAGGUGCGGACCUUGACGUCUGCACCUUUUAAUACGGUGUCACCCAUGUUCUUCGUUUGCCCAGCAGUUCGAAGUGCGGUGUUAGCAGUAUCUUGCUCAGUGUAUUUGUGCUCGUAGUGUACCUGCUCAUAGAGACAAGGCAGAGAUCAAGUGCAUGGGCCCUGUUGGUGAAAAACACCAAGAGAACCAAAAGUGUAUUUGUUCUUCUCUAACCUUAAGCAUAGUGAGCAAGACAAAGUUGAUGGAUGAUAAGUUCAUGAGUGUAGCACUUAUAACAUUUGUCAGAUCAGAUCGCUCAACCUUAUGGAAAGAUAAUCUAUCUAUGUAUAUGUCUUUUUCUUUAUAUCUCUCAAAGAUUGAAUGUGUAACAUUUUAGCUCAUCAUGGAGGUAGUACUAGGAACAAAGAUUAAAGGACGACACAUGCUGAAUCAGUUGGGUUGGUUAAUUUGGAGUUAUAAAUCAUACAUAUUUGUCUCUUUAUUUAUGUGAACUCCAGAACCAAGGAGAAGCUUAUAAAAGUGAUAGUCAGAG